GUCACCUAAAAUUCUGGAGCGGGCGAUGACUUCCACAACCCGGUCCAACAUAUGCCCCCAAACUAAAACAAACAAACUCAUUUGCCAUACAAAUUGUUUACGAUUCAUUAAAACGCAAAAUUGCAUAUCCCAGAGCUGGCAGCUGAGGCCGGCCGUGGAGGGCAUUCACUGCGUGCCUUUGUAUGCUGUGCGGAGCACCCAGCCGGGCUCCCACCAGGAGCAGAGCCCGUGCAGCCGGACAGCGGUGAGGACCCUUGGAAAUGUGAAACCUUCGGAAAGCAACUUGACUUUGAAUGCAGCAUAUAAUCACUGCUAACACACCCUGUGUAUGCUCUUGGCCCAGCACUGUUCCAAGUUCUUUCUGUUUUUCCAGGUCUUCCUCCAAUGGAAUCAGGUGUUGAACACGAAGAUGGUCCUCAGAGCCUCACUGUGUGACCCUCCCCUGGGUGUCUCAUCACUUGUGGGCUGUGGGCUCUGGGCUGAGAGGAAGGAGCCACUUGAAAGCUUCCUGUUUCUGCCUGCCCUGUCCACGUCUGGCAACUACUGCUCUGCUUUCAAGCGUCUGUGAGUUGGCCAAUCUGGAUGUCUCGCACUAUGGUCCUCCUGUGUGCCUCCCACUACUUGCUUCUCAUACUUGGCAUCCACACAUGACAACUUUUUCAUCAUGGGAAGAACAUGGAAGUCCUCAAAUUCACCAGAGUGUCACUGAGGAAAGCACUAUCUUCCCAGCUCCUUCUGUGUUGCUUAGGAAGAUCUUGUGAUUGGCUGUGUCUGGAAUUCCAGUUGAGGAAUCAGGUUUCCUAAUGCAGGAGCUCGGUCUCCAUUUGCUGUCUUGCUUUGUCUGCUACUUACACCCAUUACUCCCCCAGAGGACCUGGACCACACAGACGAGAAAACCGAGCUUCAGAGAGGCCGAGGCUGCACAGCUGGCACAUGGCAGACUUGAAGACAAACCAUCAGAACCAGAGCACUGCUCAUGACCACGAGAGAUGCUGCUUCCUGGGUGACAGGCACAGAACAUGACAGAGAGCAGAUACUGGAAAUAUCACAUGGCCACAAAGACUUGAGGGUUUGAGCAGUGAACUGAUUAUUUGUAUUCCCUUCCUGGUGACUUUAAAAUUGAGCUGCAGCCCUGCAGGAAAUUUGUGUAGUCAGAAGGAAAGUAAGUCUCCUCAGACCUGUUGUCACUCUGUUGCUUGGAACUGCACCAUCCCUUGUCCAUUCCCUUAAUUGAGCUCAUAAUUCUCCAAAUAGGAGUGCAGUGAGGUCUCCACAUUUGAACCAUCUGGGAAGGAAUUUUUUUUUGCCUGUGAUCCAGAAUGACCAAGGCAGUAGUCAAGGGGUAACAGGGACCAAAGGAUUAAAAGAUGUAACAGGCAGCAAAGCCUGUUAGUCCAUCACUGUGAGCAAUGAUGAUGAGUCAUAACACAUACUCACAAAUGUUGACACUUUGCAGUUGUAAUGUGCUGUCACUUGUUUUAUCAUGAGCCAACAAAUAAUAACAAAUAGUAGUGUUACAGAGCAAACACAGGAAAAAUCAGCAGUGAGGAGGUUUAGGAGGCAUCUUAUUACACAGGUAGGUUUGACUGGGAUCUCUCUUAAAGAGUCAGAUCCCCAACCAGAAGGAUUUUGGGGCUUUCAUGUGGAGAUCAAGGGGGAGGUGCAGAGGCAGAUUUAGUGCAUUAUGAUUGGAGGAUUGGGUGACAUCACAGGUUGCCAAGGGAGCUUAAACAUUAACUUAACAUUUCAGGUUUCAUUGCAAGGCCAUCAGUUAUACAAAGACAGUAAAGGCAGGGGUUAUACAAUGAAAAAAAUGUUCUGUUAUCAGGCCUGUCCAGACAUGUGUGCCUGAUUUUUGAGGGUGUUCUUUGCAGGCUUUAUUUAAAAUUUUAAUUUCCCUUUCAGUAGGACUUGUAAUUUACAUUUUAGACAAGACAACUAUGUCUCAGAAGUUACUUUACACCAGGUCUCCCUGGUAACAGGGUGGAGCUUUGGAUCCCAGGACUGAGAUACCCACAGUAUCUUUCUGCCACUUGUGCACCUCCCCUUAGAAGUCAGUCCUCUUUCACAAGGUUUCCUGCAGUGAGCAGGCAAGCCAUGUCUAAAUCACUCUAGGACUCCCCAGGAACUUGUAUGUCACACAUGGCUAGAUUCAAAGGAAACAAAACUUUGCUGUCCACCCCACCCUGGGACUUGUCUCCUUGUGUGAGUUGAAGAAAACAAAUAAAGUGUGCCAACCCCAUGAACAGUAUUGGUCUAGAAAGCAGCCUGUUAAAAGAUCCCAGUGGCUGAAAGCAAUCGGACCAAAUACUGCAAGAGCUCAAAAGCCAAGACACCAUGCUGAUGACUUUAUUGAGCUUUUGGAAAAGAUCCCCUUUUCAACAUACUGGAUACUCCCCACCAGAACUUUGCAAGUUUCUGGAGAUCAACCUUGGCUGACUGCAGUUUCAGAUCCAACAGCUUCUUCUGAGGACCUGCUCUGCUCUUGAUGUUUCAUAUAGGCAUUAUAUCCUCCUAAUUUCCAAGGCAUCCUGGAGAGGGAGCCUUCAAUCUUCCAUCAUAGAAGAGAAAGUGGCCAUGGAGAGGAACAGGAGGGAAACACUGAAUAAACUCCUCGAUGUCCAGCGUGGAGUCCAGGGCCUCCUACUCAGACGCAGAUGUACUCUCUAAUGGAGUAAACUGCUCUGAAAUCCACUUGCCUCCAAGAUACAGUUGUACCAAAUUGCUCCAGGUCUGUGAACAUGGCCCACCUUAUGCCGCUGAGGCUCAUGACCACCAUGAACUUCCCAAUUCCCCAUGUGAGGAAUGUCUGCAUUUAUUUUAGAAUCAAAGGUUGUCUUCUCUUUGAAGACUUCCUGAUACCUUCCCUCAUCAGUGGUAACUCUAGACCCAAUCACUCCUUUUCCUGUGCUCUGUAAGAAAGGACUUGCCAGUGGGAGUGUGGGCUUGUCACUUAUAUGUGCAUUCCUCAAGCCCUGAUAAGCUCUCUCCGGAUGCAGCCCUCCCUGGGCCCACAGCAGAUGUUGAUGCUUAGCAGGGGUGAAUUCUCAUCCUCUGAGUGGAGGAGUCGAGAAUGGCAUCUUUCUCUGGUCCUCACACAUGCUGGUUACACAAUGGCAAUUUAUAUCUUUGCUCUCAGAUCAGACCAGGCUUUGGCUGGAUGCCUAAAAGUAGAGUGGACAUAAAUUAACAGUGGAGCAAUUUAUAGUCUGUCAUGUCUUAUUGCUUAAUGAAUUUGUCAAAAAUCAUAUUACUCUGAAAAUUAUGGCAAGAAGGGUCCAUGGGGCUUAUGUCUUUAAGAGGGAGAGUGUUCCAGCCUCACUGAGCAGAGCUGCCUGAUCACUUUCCCCUUUUUAAUGCAGACAGCAGACUCUCCGAGCACUUCUGUUUAUUUAUCAAAUCUCUGUUGACCUUCAUUUUGCAUUAGGGCUACCAGGGAUGACCUUGGCCAGUUUACAAAUCCCUAACCCCAGUCCACCUGCUGUCAGAGCCAAAUAGGAUUUAGAAGUCCCUCUUACACUCCGAUUCCAUGCUAAUAUGAUGUCAUACAUUUCUGGCUUAUGUUCAUCCUACACUUCAUUAGUCACUUCUCAAAUCAGCCAACGCUUUGUCCUCUGUAAUGAGGGCACCAAGCAGAACCCCCUUUCAGCUCUGCCCCAAUUUCUUUCCAACCUGUCUUCUUCCAUUUUCUUCCUCUUUCUGCACCCAUCUGCUGCCCAAACCUCUCCAGGGCUUUGCUCCUCUCUGUUGUUCGGGGUCUGAAUUCUGUUUGAGUGGUGCCAUUUUAAAGGGUAGAAAGUCAGGCUUGGGUCAGACUUGGGUCUAGACAGUCUUCUUCAUUUGUUAACUGGAAAUAGUAACACCUAAAAGAGCGAUAGGAUGAGGAUUAGUGUGCCUAACCUCCAUCCACACACACACUCAUCCACCCAUCCACACACACACUCAUCCACCCACCCACCCUAUUCUUCUGUCCAUCCAUUCACCCAUGCUUUUAUCCAAAACUCGUGUUUUCAUUUAGUAAAUGUUACAGCACUGCUGGAAUACUUAAAAUGAGUCAGUCCCAAUGCUUGGCAUUUAGGAUACAUAGUUGAAUUCUAGUCACAGUUCUCAAGGAUUUUGGAGUCUAAUGGAAUGAAAAAAUGAAGAGAUACAUACAAACUAAUAUGGAGACUUUAGUGAUUGAGAGAGACAUGUUCCCCUGCAUUCUUGAAAGGCUCCUGGGAGCAUGCAGACAGCUGCGAAGCUCUGUUCAUGGCGCUGUCCUUGGGACUGGGGCAGGAGUGAUAGGGAGCUGCUGUGAAUCCAGCUUUUACAGUGGCUGUUCAGGUUCCUACUGUCUCCAUCAGUUUCUUUCUGUAUAUUUCUGAUUUUGUUUUUCUUUAUAUCUAUUUCUCCCUUAAUAUCCCAUUUGUCUUAUAGCUCUUUGGAGGUCAUGUGCCUAUGGAUAAGCUGGUGGCAUUUGGAAGUUUUUUUUGUUGUUGUUGUUUUUGUUUCAGUGCUGGGGGUCAAAUUUGAGACCUCAUGUAUGUUAGGCAAGUGCCCUACUACUGGGCUACAAUCCCAGUCCCAAGUUGGAUCUUUUUCUUACAUGUUUUUCCAAAGGAAAAAUUACCCCAUGGCACCUGAACAUGCAGAAGAGCCAGGGUCCCCUGGAGGCAGUGAGGAUAGACCCCAGAGGUGUCAGGUGCCCAGACAGCUCCCUGGCUCCUCCUAAGUUCUGUCUGCUUGGCUACUUGGAAGCAGCCCAGCCAGCAAACAGUUAACUAAAACUCUGUUCGCCCAUUUCAUUUCCAUCUCUUUGUUCUGUGCAACCAAAGAGCUAAUGGCUGGCGAAUUUAUUAUGACCCAUUGUUUGGUUUGUAGAAUCAACCAAUUCUUUCCCUUUCUAUGUUCUGACUCCCCCUUUGUCUGAAAUUUUAUUUUAUGGUUCUUUUUGUACAUAUCCAACACAUGCUGAGGUUAUUGAAAAAGCACAAAUGACACAGAAUUCAAUUUGCAUAUCUAUGGAGGGUCCUAUCCCAGAGUCCUCGCCAGGCAAAGUGCCCACUGACUCCUGCAUCUUUCCCUAUGCUUACUUUGGCAUCAGCUCUGCCAGGCUGCCCUUGCCGCACCUGGCGGACCUGUGCAUGGCCUUCAGGGUAGCUUCAGCAUUGCCCUGCAGAGCACAAUGUGCUGGGCUGCAGGAGGUUCCAGGAAUGUCCCUCAGGAAACCUGGAAAGACAACAUUGUGCACAAGAGACCAGAGGGCAGCUCCACGGGGCCAAGUUAGCACCGAGGGACUGAAGAGAUUCAGGUGCCCUAGCCAGUAGGGCUGUAUGCUCUCUAACUGCUUUCUAUAAAAGCUAAACUUUUGGUUUUGGGGUAGUUGUAGACCCAUAGGUGUGAGAUGUGAGAAAUGACACAACGAGAGCUCAUGGACUCUUCUCAUGUGUUCAUCUCAGGCAUGCUUACUUAUCUAGCCAAGUUCCAUCCUUGCCAGCUAUACAACAAGAGCCAUAGCAGUGCACAGGGCUGUGAGACUCUGGAUGGCAUCUGUGAGACAUCUCAUCUGUUCUCAGUAACCACUGCCUUCCUCCCUACUGGUUAAAUGAUGAUGGCCACAUAACCCUGAUUAAUGGGGAGUAUUAGCCAGGACAGUCUCCAGUGCUCAUGCAUGGUUUUGAUCUAAAUUCUAUCAUGGAAAAUAGGACAUUUUAAGGUUUGAUGUAAAAAUGAUGCAUUUAGUAGAAGAUUAUAACUUAACAUCUAGUUAAAAUUACUGCUAAUAUUCUGCUGUAUGCCUCUCAUAGUUACAGAUUUAAAAAACAAAAGAUGUGAUUAUACCUCUCGUACUCUUUUGUAACCAUAAUAAAACAGGGCAGUCUAUUUUAGGACUGCAUGAUAUGAUAAAGAGAACCAUAUUUAAAAAAAAACUUUGAUACACAAUAUUUCACUACAGACAUUUUCUUUCUUCUCAUUCUCUUCUUUUUUUUUAAAAUUUUUAUUUAAAGAGAAAAAAAGCAAAACAGAAAAAAGGGUAGCAACAAUACAAAAUUCCAAAAAAAUACUAAGCAAUCACUACUUGAUAAAUUAUAUAUUGUCAUCUUAGAAAUAGUUGUUCAAGUUACAAAAUUAAAGCAUAAAAAGUGGACAUUCAAACAGUUCUGCUCAACAAUCCAACAAAAACUUAAUAAUAUGGUCAUCAAUCCUACACACUGAAACAUACAUGUAGUCAUAUCCUUUAUCUCAUUCUCUUCUAACUCCUCCUCGAACUCCUUCCCUCUUUCUCUUCUUCCCAUUCCUUCUUUUUCUACUUACAGUGAAGAGAUGUGCAUUAAACAUUCUUGAAUACAAAUCUUUGCACUUUUCCAUGAUUUGUCUUAGGAUGCAGGGAGUAAAUACUUAGAGCUUAAAAGGCCUGUCAAUCCUGUUUUUGAGACAUAGUGUUGUAGUCAGGGGUUGUGGGGAGAACAAUUAAAAUCAAGACAUGGAAUUUAUAAUAUUAUAUUAUGAUGGUCACCCAGAGUUAACACAAGAAACUUCAGGAAAUUUGUCCACAGCACCAGACACAGAAUAUUCAACCAAGGGCCUGGAUCCCACAGCAAUGUCCCAUAUAAGUCCAGAUGAAGACCCAGAGCUCCUGACAAUGCCUCCCACAAGUCCAACUGGAGGUCCAGAGCCCACAAGGACUCAUCAGUCUCUUUUACGAAUCUGUGCUGGGAAGGUCCAUAGGUUAGUGGUGGAAGCUAGAAAGUCAAUGCCAGAGGGGUGAUGGAGCUGUGCUGGUGGGUUGAGUGUUCUAUGCUAGACCUGAGAAAUCACGCUCAAAAAAAAAAAAAAAAAAAAAGACCAGGGCUGUCCUGAAAAGCACCACAGUCAACCUCAGCAACACAGAGGCCUGAGCUCUUCUGACAAUAAGCACAGUCAAGUACAUGCCAGGAAGCCAGCGUGAUGAGUUUGUCCUGGAGACCAAGCAGCACACAUCUUUUUCUCCGGAGCCAGGAAGCAAUGCUCAAUGUGAGGACCAGAGCUUCUCCAGGAGAAACAACGGCUCAAACAGCAACACGUAAGAGAACCCAAAAUGCUUCAAUGCCUCUUUUCUCCUUCCUCCAUGUCUCUACUUAUGCUGGCAACUUGCCUUGGGUGGAACAUCUCUGCUCAGCAGCAUGAUGAUUUAAUUCCACUGGCUCUAAGUUGACCACCAAUUUUAAUCUAUACCACAUAGUAAACCACAUUAUUGCCAAUUACUUAAAGAGGCAGUUCCUGAAUUGGGUUGUAUGUAAGAAUGAUCUUGAGAGAUUUUUAAGUUUAUACACUAAUACCAUGGUGCCGGACCACUCUGAGCUUGAACUUUCGACUACUCAAGCAGCAAAUUUUGAAAAACAUCUGCUCAUAUUCAUAAAUUUGCUUGACAUUUGAACUGAAAAUCAUGUCUCACUACAGACACAGAGGGUGACGCUUCAGUGAAAGCGUCGCUCUCACCCAGUAGAUGUACAGUGUGUCAGCGUGUUUAAACAUCCGGUAUUCUGCUGUUUUGCAUGCUUUGUGUUAGAAUAUCGUAACCAUGGCUCCAAAGAAGGUAAAACUGAUAGAAAAACUAUAAGAAUCACAACAGAGUUACAGAAAGAAAUCAUUGAAAAAUUUGUUAAAGUUCUGGAAAAAUAAAUUUAAUGUAAUUUUUGAA
Cavia porcellus (domestic guinea pig) is the source of this 7663-nucleotide long non-coding RNA. RefSeq lists it as uncharacterized. The record is from RefSeq and is a predicted model, not a curated record. Lineage: Eukaryota; Metazoa; Chordata; Mammalia; Rodentia; Caviidae. The transcript is spliced from 8 exons.